UGAAUCUGUAGUGGUAGAAGUACAUCCA
This 28-nucleotide small RNA is filed under the name Bombyx mori (domestic silkworm). RNAcentral describes it as "ovarian small RNA-31144". Lineage: Eukaryota; Metazoa; Arthropoda; Insecta; Lepidoptera; Bombycidae. The record is from RNAcentral.